This 442-nucleotide ribosomal RNA is filed under the name uncultured bacterium. RNAcentral's name for it is "partial 16S ribosomal RNA". It matches the Rfam family "Bacterial small subunit ribosomal RNA", at positions 338 to 795 of the family's 1533-position model. The record is from RNAcentral.
CCUACGGGAGGCAGCAGUGGGGAAUAUUGGGCAAUGGGCGAAAGCCUGACCCAGCAACGCCGCGUGAAGGAAGAAGGCUUUCGGGUUGUAAACUUCUUUUGACAGGGAAGAGCAGAAGACGGUACCUGUCGAAUAAGCCACGCCUAACUACGUGCCAGCAGCCGCGGUAAUACGUAGGUGGCAAGCGUUGUCCGGAUUUACUGGGGGUAAAGGGCGUGUAGCCGGGCUGACAAGUCAGAUGUGAAAUCCGGGGGCUCAACCCCCGAACUGCAUUUGAAACUGUUGGUCUUGAGUAUCGGAGAGGCAGGCGGAAUUCCUAGUGUAGCGGUGAAAUGCGUAGAUAUUAGGAGGAACACCAGUGGCGAAGGCGGCCUGCUGGACGACAACUGACGGUGAGGCGCGAAAGCGUGGGGAGCAAACAGGAUUAGAUACCCUUGUAGUC